Molecule: long non-coding RNA, 1202 nt
Organism: Archocentrus centrarchus (flier cichlid)
Lineage: Eukaryota; Metazoa; Chordata; Actinopteri; Cichliformes; Cichlidae
Exons: 5
Source: RefSeq, a predicted model, not a curated record
CUCAGAUACACAGAGAGCUGACUGAAGCUCAGGUCUGUUUCUCUCUAACUGUCAUGAUGUUUGGGCUAAAUCAUACAGCGCUUUUCUUCAUCCAGGCUUUAGUGAUGUGGUAUGCCUUUGCAGGUAUUCCUAAAGAAGACCACAGAGUUAUGUUGCUGUCCAGAGGACACUCAGUGAUGUUGACUUGCAACAGAUCUACAAAAAAUGCAUCACUAAUCACCUAGACCAAAGGCAGAUCUGUUUUUAAAUAUUCCAUUUCAAAUAAUCGCACCAUUUCAAAUUUCUCAUAUCACAGACUGAAAAUAAAUCACGAGUUACCUUCAAAGCUGAUUAUUUUUAGUGCUCAGCCUGAAGAUGAAGGACUUUAUAGAUGUAACAUAACUGACAGAAGUGGCCUAAACAGCAUUAUAUGGAACUUAACUGUGUCUAAAAACCAUACAGAAUCCUUUUCAUUAAAGGAUUUUCUCUACAUACUCCCACCUGCAAUUGGAAUCGCUCUAUGUUGCAUCACACUAUAUGUCUUCCUCUGCAGAAAAGGUAUAAAGAGGACACCCAAUCAGGAUCCAGUCCAAGAGCCCCCUCAGUCAGAAGAGGAGGCCACUGCUCAAUGGAAAAAUAACAAGCGGAGGAGUCAGUAUACAGAGAAGCUGAAUUCAAUCUAUGAUCACUUCUGAGCUGAUGAGGCAUCCACAUAUAAAGUCACACAGAGACAAGGACAUUUGUCAGAUUCAAAGGAGGGACUGCAAGGGAAUGCUAUUAGAGGGAAGACAACACAACUACUGCAGCCCCUUCAGCUCAGGCACACAGCUGUGAGCACAGCAGUUCCAACCACUCACAACUGAUCCUGCUUAACAAGGAAGGGGAACAUGAACUAAAGCUGUUGUUUCAGAGACAAGAUGAACUGCAGGUCUACACCAAAGCCCAGUAUCAGAUAAAUAACUAUUACUUAUCUUAUACUAUUAUCUGAAACUGUGAGUCAGGCUCUUUUAGAGUCCGAGUGUAGAAGCAGAGCAAGAAAUCGGCCUUCAAGGUUUGCUUAAGUAUCUUUGAGGGUAGUUAGUUUGACUGAACUUUCUUUUGCACUAUGAGCUCACAAAAGCAUUUAAAAUGUUCAUGUUAUUCGGGCGCCUGAGUGGCUUAGUGGUGAAGCCGGCGACCACAUACAUAUGCCGCAUUGCUGUGCGGGUUCGCGUCCCGGCCUG